GGAGGAUUAGCUCAGCUGGGAGAGCAUCUGCCUUACAAGCAGAGGGUCGGCGGUUCGAUCCCGUC
This 65-nucleotide transfer RNA is filed under the name Aneurinibacillus migulanus. RNAcentral's name for it is "partial Val tRNA". It matches the Rfam family "tRNA", at positions 1 to 63 of the family's 71-position model. From Rfam's summary of the family: Transfer RNA (tRNA) molecules are approximately 80 nucleotides in length. Their secondary structure includes four short double-helical elements and three loops (D, anti-codon, and T loops). The record is from RNAcentral. Lineage: Bacteria; Bacillati; Bacillota; Bacilli; Caryophanales; Paenibacillaceae.